Molecule: long non-coding RNA, 231 nt
Filed under: Capsicum annuum
Lineage: Eukaryota; Viridiplantae; Streptophyta; Magnoliopsida; Solanales; Solanaceae
Description: long non-coding RNA (CANN_LNC000215)
Source: RNAcentral
AUUGCUAUGUUUGUUGGCUGAGUUAGCUUCUUCUUCUCUCAAAGUUAAUGUUAUACCAAAAAAAUUUCUUCAAAUGAAUCUGUCAAAUUCACUCACCUAUUAUUAAUAUUAUUAUUAUCAUCAUCAUCCCUUCCAUUUUUUCCUAUUAUUUAGAAACUUCAAGAAACCUGAUUAAUCUUUUAAUUAUUAGAGGAGAGAUUUAAUUUGCAAGGAAUCAGAAAAAGAUGGGGC